AACGUAGGUCCCGAGCGUUAUCCGGAUUUACUGGGCGUAAAGCGUGUUCAGGCGGUCUAGCAAGUCGGGCAUGAAAUCUCUCGGCUCAACCGGGGAGGGGUUGUCCGAUACUGCUGGGCUUGAGGGCAGCAGGAGGGUGGUGGAAUUCCGGGUGUAGUGGUGAAAUGCGUAGAGAUCCGGAGGAACCCCAGAGGCGAAGGCGGCGCCCUGGCCCGACACGUGACGCUCAGACACGACAGCAUGGGGAG
Molecule: ribosomal RNA, 248 nt
Filed under: uncultured bacterium
Lineage: Bacteria
Description: partial 16S ribosomal RNA
Rfam family: Bacterial small subunit ribosomal RNA
Source: RNAcentral